CACCGCCCCGUCACACCAUGGGAGUUGGCUUUACCUGAAGACGGUGCGCUAACCAGCAAUGGAGGCAGCCGGCCACGGUAGGGUCAGCGACUGGGGUG
Molecule: ribosomal RNA, 98 nt
Filed under: uncultured bacterium
Lineage: Bacteria
Description: partial 16S ribosomal RNA
Rfam family: Bacterial small subunit ribosomal RNA
Source: RNAcentral